UGAGCGGGCCAGGCGACCGCUGCCGGCCGAAAGGCCGGUGGAGGAAAGUCCGAACUGGACAGGGCACGGCGAUGGCUAACAGCCACCGGGCGCAAGCCCAGGGAAAGUGCCACAGAAAAGACACCGCGACCACGGCCCAGCGUCGUGGGCGUAAGGGUGAAAAGGUGCGGUAAGAGCGCACCGCGCGGCCGGCGACGGUCGUGGCAGGGCAAACCCCGCCGCCAGCAAGCCCAAAUAAGGGGCGAUGAGCCGGCCCGGCUCGUUACCAGCCCCGGGUAGGGUGCUUGAGCCGGUCAGCAAUGGCCGGCCCAGAGGAAUGGCCGCCGCCCGACAGGCCUCGCCGACGCGCAGCAAGCUGGGCCUCGUGCCCUUAGGCCCUGCCGCCGGCUAAGCCGUUCGCAAAGAGCGGCGACGGACGUCGGGAACAGAAUUCGGCUUACGGCCCGCUCGCUGU
This 454-nucleotide RNase P RNA is filed under the name Phycisphaerae bacterium RAS1. Its description in RNAcentral is "Bacterial RNase P class A". It matches the Rfam family "Bacterial RNase P class A". Rfam says of the family: Ribonuclease P (RNase P) is a ubiquitous endoribonuclease, found in archaea, bacteria and eukarya as well as chloroplasts and mitochondria. Its best characterised activity is the generation of mature 5'-ends of tRNAs by cleaving the 5'-leader elements of precursor-tRNAs. Cellular RNase Ps are ribonucleoproteins. The record is from Rfam by way of RNAcentral. Lineage: Bacteria; Pseudomonadati; Planctomycetota; Phycisphaerae.